Molecule: ribosomal RNA, 395 nt
Filed under: uncultured bacterium
Lineage: Bacteria
Description: partial 16S ribosomal RNA
Rfam family: Bacterial small subunit ribosomal RNA
Source: RNAcentral
AUACGUAGGGUGCAAGCGUUAAUCGGAAUUACUGGGCGUAAAGCGUGCGCAGGCGGUUCGGAAAGAAGGAUGUGAAAUCCCAGGGCUCAACCUUGGAACUGCAUUCUUAACUACCGAACUAGAGUAUGUCAGAGGGGGGUAGAAUUCCGCGUGUAGCAGUGAAAUGCGUAGAUAUGCGGAGGAAUACCGAUGGCGAAGGCAGCCCCCUGGGAUAAUACUGACGCUCAUGCACGAAAGCGUGGGUAGCAAACAGGAUUAGAUACCCUGGUAGUCCACGCCCUAAACGAUGUCAACUAGCUGUUGGGCCCUUCGGGGCUUAGUAGCGUAGCUAAAGCGUGAAGUUGACCGCCUGGGGAGUACGGUCGCAAGAUUAAAACUCAAAUGAAUUGACGGGG